GACGAACGCUGGCGGCGUGCUUAACACAUGCAAGUCGAACGGAAAGGCACUGCGUUUGUGGGGUGAUCGAGUGGCGAACGCGUGCGUAACACGUGAGUAACCUGCCCUAGACUUUGGGAUAACUUCAGGAAACUGGGGCUAAUAUCGGACAGCAGCUCCUCUUGCAUGGAGGGGGUGGGAAAGUUUCGGCGGGUGGGGAUGGACGGGCGGGUUAUCAGCUUGUUGGUGGGGGAGUGGCUUACCCAGCGUUUGAAGGGUAGGCGGCAUGAGAGGGUGACCGGCGACAUUGGGACUGAGAGACGGACCAGAGGGCUACGUGAGGCAGCAGGGGGAAGUAUGGCACAGUGGUCGCAAGCCUGAUGCAGAAGCGUUGCGUGCGUGAUGACGGCUUUCGGGGUGUAAACCGCUUUCGCCUGUUACGAAGCGGGAGUGACGGUAAUGAGUAAAGAAGCACCGGCUAACUACGUG
This 468-nucleotide ribosomal RNA is filed under the name uncultured bacterium. RNAcentral's name for it is "partial 16S ribosomal RNA". It matches the Rfam family "Bacterial small subunit ribosomal RNA", at positions 28 to 507 of the family's 1533-position model. The record is from RNAcentral.